RNAcentral lists this ribosomal RNA (650 nucleotides) under uncultured bacterium. RNAcentral describes it as "bacterial SSU rRNA". It matches the Rfam family "Bacterial small subunit ribosomal RNA", at positions 61 to 767 of the family's 1533-position model. The record is from RNAcentral.
GUGGAACUGCACGCUUGCUGUUUCGCUGACGAGUGGCGGACGGGUGAGUAAUGUCUGGGAAACUGCCUGAUGGAUUGGAAUAACUACUGGAAACGGUAGCUAAUACCGCAUAACGUCGCACGACCAAAGAGGGGGACCUUCGGGCCUCUUGCCAUCAGAUGUGCCCAGAUGGGAUUAGCUAGUAAGUGGGGUAACGGCUCACCUAUGCGACGAUCCCUAGCUGGUCUGAGAGGAUGACCAGCCACACUGGAACUGAGACACGGUCCAGACUCCUACGGGAGGCAGCAGUGGGGAAUAUUGCACAAUGGGCGCAAGCCUGAUGCAGCCAUGCCGCGUGUAUGAAGAAGGCCUUCGGGUUGUAAAGACUUUCAGCGUCCGGCUAACUCCGUGCCAGCAGCCGCGGUAAUACGGAGGGAGCUAGCGUUGUUCGGAAUUACUGGGCGUAAAGCGCGCGUAGGCGGCUUUUUAAGUCAGGGGUGAAAUCCCGGAGCUCAACUCCGGAACUGCCCUUGAAACUGGAAAGCUAGAAUAUUGGAGAGGUAAGUGGAAUUCCGAGUGUAGAGGUGAAAUUCGUAGAUAUUCGGAAGAACACCAGUGGCGAAGGCGACUUACUGGACAAUUAUUGACGCUGAGGUGCGAAAGCGUGGGGG